RNAcentral lists this ribosomal RNA (253 nucleotides) under uncultured bacterium. Its description in RNAcentral is "partial 16S ribosomal RNA". It matches the Rfam family "Bacterial small subunit ribosomal RNA", at positions 524 to 776 of the family's 1533-position model. The record is from RNAcentral.
UACGUAGGGUGCGAGCGUUAAUCGGGAUUACUGGGCGUAAAGCGUGCGCAGGCGGUUUUGUAAGCCAGAUGUGAAAUCCCCGGGCUCAACCUGGGAAUGGCAUUUGGGACUGCAAGGCUGGAGUGCGGCAGAGGAGACUGGAAUUCCUGGUGUAGCAGUGAAAUGCGUAGAUAUCAGGUGGAACAUCGGUGGCGAAGGCGGCUCACUGGACCAGUACUGACACUGAGGAGCGAAAGCAUGGGGAUCAAACAGG